RNAcentral lists this ribosomal RNA (475 nucleotides) under uncultured bacterium. RNAcentral describes it as "partial 16S ribosomal RNA". It matches the Rfam family "Bacterial small subunit ribosomal RNA", at positions 28 to 507 of the family's 1533-position model. The record is from RNAcentral.
GAUGAACGCUGGCGGCAGGCCUAACACAUGCAAGUCGAGCGGUAAGCCUUCGGGCUAGGACCGUCGCACGGGGGCGUAACGGGUAGACAAUCGUGCUUUUAUCCGCGUGGUAGCCCGGAUAAAUUUGGAUUAAUACCCUAUGGUAUAAGAACACGGCAUCGUUCACUUAUUAGGGCUACGGCGUUACAGCGGGAGUAUGCGUUCUAUUAGCUAGUUGGAGAGGUAACGGCUCCCCAAGGAGACGAUAGUUAGGGGUUCUGAGAGGGAUGUCCCCCACACUGGUACCGAGAUACGGACCAGAGUGAUACGGGAGGGAGCAGUGAGGGAGACUGGACAAUGGUCGGAAGACUGAUCCAGCCAUGCCGCGUGCAGGAAGACGGCGUUAGGGGUUGUAGACUGCUUUUGGAAGGGAAGAAUAAGGAGUACGGGUACGUGGAUGACGGUACCUGACGAAGAAGCAUCGGCUAACUACGUG